Molecule: non-coding RNA, 215 nt
Organism: Cinara cedri
Lineage: Eukaryota; Metazoa; Arthropoda; Insecta; Hemiptera; Aphididae
Source: the annotation of a GenBank genome assembly
UCGGAAAAUUAUUGAGAAUUUAGAAAUAUUUUUGUCAAAACAAGUCUAUAGUGUUUAAUUUAAUACCAGUGUUUAAAUCGGUUAAAAACGUUUCAGAUUUCUAGCUUUUAAAUUAAAAAAUAUAUUUGAAAAAAAUUUCAUAGGUUUAUAUGAAAUAACUGUAACUAUACGAAAAAACUAAAUUUAUGUAUAUUAUAUGCCCAUGCACUCUGCCC